Molecule: long non-coding RNA, 927 nt
Organism: Homo sapiens (human)
Lineage: Eukaryota; Metazoa; Chordata; Mammalia; Primates; Hominidae
Source: Ensembl
AUGUGACUUCUGCACCUCAUCUCUGGGAUGGUUUCAGUGGGUCCUAGAUUGCUUUCUGUGCUCCCUGGGACAGUUGGUGGCACUCUGUGAGACUACUCUGAGACCAGUCCUUUCCAUCAUGGGCUCCUGUGGAAAAUGACCCCAGCUCAGCUCAGUAGUUGAUGGGACAUCUGAUUCAGGACAACAUAUAUCAAGCAGGGGCCAUUGCUCCAGCCUGACUCCAGGAAUCAGCAGACAGCGCAGCCUCAUUCUCCACCUGCUCCCUGCAGUACAGCCUCAGAACCACACAGUUGCAGCCAACCAGCUCCUGACAUGGAACUUGAGCAACAAAUGCCCUUUGUUUUUGCAAGUCCCUGAGAUUUGGAAGUUGUUACACAGCAUUCUCUCAGCCAGAAGUGACUGACAUGGUAUCAUUGCAGUCUUGAUCAAUUUGCCCUAUGCAAAGUGUUUUUAUAUGCCAUGAAUUUCUGAAGAUAGAACUACUGUUAUUCCCCAUGCAGCAGCUGAGGAAACUGAGUCUUAGAAUGUAUAAACAACUUUCCCAAGGCUACUGAAAGUGAUGGGAAUCAAAUAUAUCUUUGCCUAACUCCAGAUCCCAUGCUUUUGAAGAUAUUUAUACUGCCUAAAGCUGUAACAGACUUUUCUAAUAGUCAUACAUGGCAUAUUUAGUUGCUCUCCAUGGGGAAAUAAUGACCUGACAUGGAAAAUAUUGGUGUACUUUAUUAUGAGAUUCUAAUAAGCAACCAUUAUACAUGUAUAUAAUAUAUACAUGCAACCUCUUAAGCUUAUGCCAUUCUGUAUGGAUGUUACUAGCUUGAAGAAAUUCUAAAGAGUAGGGAUAUUAAAAAUACUGAGCCAAUAAAGUAGGAUAAUUUUUUUAUUGUAGUCAAUUUUCAUUUAUAAUAUUAAAUUCUUGCACUCCCUUUC